AGGUUGAAGGUUGGGUAACACUAACUGGAGGACCGAACCGACUAAUGUUGAAAAAUUAGCGGAUGACUUGUGGCUGGGGGUGAAAGGCCAAUCAAACCGGGAGAUAGCUGGUUCUCCCCGAAAGCUAUUUAGGUAGCGCCUCGUGAAUUCAUCUCCGGGGGUAGAGCACUGUUUCGGCAAGGGGGUCAUCCCGACUUACCAACCCGAUGCAAACUGCGAAUACCGGAGAAUGUUAUCACGGGAGACACACGGCGGGUGCUAACGUCCGUCGUGAAGAGGGAAACAACCCAGACCGCCAGCUAAGGUCCCAAAGUCAUGGUUAAGUGGGAAACGAUGUGGGAAGGCCCAGACAGCCAGGAUGUUGGCUUAGAAGCAGCCAUCAUUUAAAGAAAGCGUAAUAGCUCACUGGUCGAGUCGGCCUGCGCGGAAGAUGUAACGGGGCUAAACCAUGCACCGAAGCUGCGGCAGCGACGCUUAUGCGUUGUUGGGUAGGGGAGCGUUCUGUAAGCCUGCGAAGGUGUGCUGUGAGGCAUGCUGGAGGUAUCAGAAGUGCGAAUGCUGACAUAAGUAACGAUAAAGCGGGUGAAAAGCCCGCUCGCCGGAAGACCAAGGGUUCCUGUCCAACGUUAAUCGGGGCAGGGUGAGUCGACCCCUAAGGCGAGGCCGAAAGGCGUAGUCGAUGGGAAACAGGUUAAUAUUCCUGUACUUGGUGUUACUGCGAAGGGGGGACGGAGAAGGCUAUGUUGGCCGGGCGACGGUUGUCCCGGUUUAAGCGUGUAGGCUGGU
Molecule: ribosomal RNA, 786 nt
Filed under: Escherichia coli
Lineage: Bacteria; Pseudomonadati; Pseudomonadota; Gammaproteobacteria; Enterobacterales; Enterobacteriaceae
Description: partial 23S ribosomal RNA
Rfam family: Bacterial large subunit ribosomal RNA
Source: RNAcentral